UCGAGAAUCAUUCACAAUGGGGGAAACCCUGAUGGUGCGACGCCGCGUGGGGGAAUGAAGGUCUUCGGAUUGUAAACCCCUGUCAUGUGGGAGCAAAUUAAAAAGAUAGUACCACAAGAGGAAGAGACGGCUAACUCUGUGCCAGCAGCCGCGGUAAUACAGAGGUCUCAAGCGUUGUUCGGAAUCACUGGGCGUAAAGCGUGCGUAGGCGGUUUCGUAAGUCGUGUGUGAAAGGCGGGGGCUCAACCCCCGGACUGCACAUGAUACUGCGAGACUAGAGUAAUGGAGGGGGAACCGGAAUUCUCGGUGUAGCAGUGAAAUGCGUAGAUAUCGAGAGGAACACUCGUGGCGAAGGCGGGUUCCUGGACAUUAACUGACGCUGAGGCGCGAAGGCCAGGGGAGCGAAAGGG
This 410-nucleotide ribosomal RNA is filed under the name Acidobacteriota bacterium. RNAcentral's name for it is "Acidobacteria bacterium partial 16S ribosomal RNA". It matches the Rfam family "Bacterial small subunit ribosomal RNA", at positions 355 to 776 of the family's 1533-position model. The record is from RNAcentral. Lineage: Bacteria; Pseudomonadati; Acidobacteriota.